RNAcentral lists this long non-coding RNA (238 nucleotides) under Setaria viridis. RNAcentral describes it as "long non-coding RNA (SVIR_LNC000078)". Lineage: Eukaryota; Viridiplantae; Streptophyta; Magnoliopsida; Poales; Poaceae. The record is from RNAcentral.
GGUUCGAUUUUACGAGAAAGAGCGACAAUGGAUGCGGAACCUUCGUCUUCACCGUUCAAGGAUGCUUAAAGUCCUCCUAGAUAAUAACUAGUGGAUGGCUUGUUGUAUUGUAUCAUUUUAUUUGGAUCUUUAAUUUAAAUAUGUGUAUUUGUAUCUAUAUCUAAACUUUCAGCAUUAUUUGCACUACAACGUUUGACAUGUAAUCCAUUUUCAUGUGUAAUCCAUUUUCGUGCGUAGU